GCCUGGGUGGCUCAGUCGGUUAAGUGUCUGACUUCGGCUCAGGUCAUGAUCUCACAGUUCAUGGGUUCAAGCCCUGUGUCAGGCU
RNAcentral lists this transfer RNA (85 nucleotides) under Felis catus (domestic cat). It matches the Rfam family "tRNA". From Rfam's summary of the family: Transfer RNA (tRNA) molecules are approximately 80 nucleotides in length. Lineage: Eukaryota; Metazoa; Chordata; Mammalia; Carnivora; Felidae. The record is from Rfam by way of RNAcentral.